RNAcentral lists this ribosomal RNA (156 nucleotides) under Paratrichaptum accuratum. RNAcentral describes it as "5.8S ribosomal RNA". It matches the Rfam family "5.8S ribosomal RNA". From Rfam's summary of the family: 5.8S ribosomal RNA (5.8S rRNA) is a component of the large subunit of the eukaryotic ribosome. It is transcribed by RNA polymerase I as part of the 45S precursor that also contains 18S and 28S rRNA. Lineage: Eukaryota; Fungi; Basidiomycota; Agaricomycetes; Hymenochaetales; Schizoporaceae. The record is from RNAcentral.
ACAACUUUCAACAACGGAUCUCUUGGCUCUCGCAUCGAUGAAGAACGCAGCGAACUGCGAUAAGUAAUGUGAAUUGCAGAAUUCAGUGAAUCAUCGAAUUUUUGAACGCAUCUUGCGCUCCUUGGUAUUCCGAGGAGCAUGCCUGUUUGAGUGUCA